This 210-nucleotide unclassified non-coding RNA is filed under the name Hevea brasiliensis (rubber tree). The record is from RNAcentral. Lineage: Eukaryota; Viridiplantae; Streptophyta; Magnoliopsida; Malpighiales; Euphorbiaceae.
AAAAUAGUUGGUCGUCAAUCAUCAAAAUAGAUAAAUCGUGGGUCACUAAAAAAAGGUUGUCGGUGAAACAUACAUAAAACUCUCCAACACCCUAUACCUGCCAAAAUUCCAAUUCGCCAAGGUAAUUACAAAAAAGGGCUCAUACACAGGCUUCACAGGUAUAAAGUGGGAUACUCAGGCUCCUUUUGGGAGCCUAACUGUGCUAACCGG